Molecule: long non-coding RNA, 706 nt
Filed under: Taeniopygia guttata (zebra finch)
Lineage: Eukaryota; Metazoa; Chordata; Aves; Passeriformes; Estrildidae
Description: lncRNA (ENSTGUG00000025480.1)
Source: RNAcentral
UUGACAAAUAGCACUAGAACUAAGCUCCUCUUGAGCCUCUCAGAAACACUGUCAGCUCCCAGCAUCUAGUUCUGUAUAAUGAGCUCCUGUUUUUUGACAAACAGCUUUGGUAACUUAAAUUUCUUGCCUGAGUAACAGCCCAAGUGAAACAACAUUUUUGUUAUUGAACUUUCAAAGAAAGUUUGGAACCCAAAUUGCUGCCAGGAUGGAAUAUUACUAUGUCUGAAUCCAGUGCUCUUGCAACCGUUUGAACAGCAGUUCUAAGUGAGAUGCUCUGAGCUCUCCAGGACCACAGAUUCCAGCAAUUUAUGUUUUUGAGAUGGAGUUUUCUUGAUUCCCAUUGGAACAAAAAGAUUCUGUCAUUAGCGAGAUACUUGUGUGACCUUCAGAGCUGUGUCUCCAAUUUCUUCCUAGCUUCUUGCUGGUCUGUUCAGCCUGCAGUCUUUUGGGACAAUGAUGAGCUACAUAUUUCUCGAGCGCAAAAUAGAAAAAUAAGUGAACCAGAGAGAAGCAAGUAUUUAAAUAUUUGUAACUGAAGUUGAACUUCCAGUAUCUUCAAAUGGACAAGGCAUGCAUAAUAGAAGUAAAGUCUACAUGAAGAUGUGCAAAACCAAAAUAUUUGGAUCCUCUUUAGUGUCUUAAUAUUGCUUCAAAAUGCCAUAAAAUAAAAUCAAAUUAUACUUUGUUGUAGCACUGGUCAAACUAG